RNAcentral lists this ribosomal RNA (269 nucleotides) under uncultured prokaryote. RNAcentral's name for it is "partial 16S ribosomal RNA". It matches the Rfam family "Bacterial small subunit ribosomal RNA", at positions 524 to 792 of the family's 1533-position model. The record is from RNAcentral.
UACGUAGGUGGCAAGCGUUAUCCGGAUUCACUGGGCGUAAAGCGCGUGCAGGCGGUUCCGUAAGUCGGACGUGAAAGCUCCUGGCUUAACUGGGAGAGGCCGUUCGAUACUGCGGGACUUGAGGUCGGGAGAGGGACGUGGAAUUCUCGGUGUAGUGGUGGAAUGCGUAGAUAUCGGGAGGAACACCAGUGGCGAAGGCGGCGUCCUGGCCCGUACCUGACGCUGAGACGCGAAAGCGUGGGUAGCGAACGGGAUUAGAUACCCCCGUA